Sorex araneus (European shrew) is the source of this 164-nucleotide small nuclear RNA. RefSeq annotates it as U1 spliceosomal RNA. NCBI's taxonomy places the organism in Eukaryota, Metazoa, Chordata, Mammalia, Eulipotyphla, Soricidae. The record is from RefSeq and is a predicted model, not a curated record. The transcript has a single exon.
AAACCUACCUAUCAGGAGAAACACCGGGAUCACAAAGUUAGUUGUUCCAGGGCGAGGCUUAUACAUUGCACUUUGGUUGUGCUGAUCCCUGCGAUUACGCCAAAUGUGGGAAACUAGACUGCUUAAUUUGUGGUAGUGGGGGACUGUGUUCAUGCUCUCCCCUG